AGAGUUUGAUCAUGGCUCAGGAUAAACGCUGGCGGCGUGCCUAACACAUGCAAGUCGAACGAUCCCGCAAGGGAGAGUGGCGGAAGGGUGAGUAACACGUGGGAAUCUACCUCCUCGCAGGGAACAACCUCUCGAAAGAGAGGCUAAUACCCAAAAGGGUCAGAAAUGAUCAGAGUCGAAAGGCGUGAGGAGAGGAGCCCGCGGCCCAUCAGCUAGUUGGUGAGGUAAUGGCUUACCAAGGCUACGACGGGCAGGGGAUCUGAGAGGAUGUCCCCCACACUGGAACUGAAACACGGUCCAGACGCCUACGGGUGGCAGCAGUGAGGAAUAUUGGACAAUGGGCGAAAGCCCGAUCCAGCAACGCCGCGUGGAGGAUGAAGGCCUUCGGGUCGUAAACUUCUUUAGAGGGAGACGAGAAAGGACGGUAUCCCUAGAAUAAGCGACGGCAAACUACGUG
This 457-nucleotide ribosomal RNA is filed under the name uncultured bacterium. RNAcentral's name for it is "bacterial SSU rRNA". It matches the Rfam family "Bacterial small subunit ribosomal RNA", at positions 8 to 507 of the family's 1533-position model. The record is from RNAcentral.